UUAGAGGAAGUAAAAGUCGUAACAAGGUUUCCGUAGGUGAACCUGCGGAAGGAUCAUUAAUGAGUGUAUCGAGCUUCGCUCUUUGUAAGGAUGAAAAUUUUUACAAGGGGAGAAUGACUCGCCUACAUUAUUCACCCAACGUUGAAUUGAUGCGUGAUCGUGCUGUUCUCUCAUUAACUUCUCUGUAAAUUGUAUUCUUGUAGAUGCUAUUUACCGGAGUACAGACUUUGGGAAGCUUUGAGGAAGGGUUUUCAUGAUCGCCAUUUAACACAAUGAUUUGUUUUGAAGGCAAAGAUGCGUAUUUUACAAAAUAUGUAAACUUUCAACAAUGGAUCUCUUGGUUCUGGCAUCGAUGAAGAACGCGGCAAAAUGCGAUAAGUAAUGUGAAUUGCAGAAUUCAGUGAAUCAUCGAAUCUUUGAACGCAAAUUGCGCUUUCUGGUAUUCCGGAAAGCACACCUGUUCGAGCGUCAAUUUUCAGAUACAGUACCUUUAUUUCAUUUGUUAGCUGGGUGGUGUUCUAUUUGGCUAACAUGUGGGGUAUGCUACGGGUGUUAUGGAUGAAUUGUUGUGGGUCAUUAAGGUGACUUCUGACACAUCUGAAAAAUGUCCGCGGCGCUAUGGAAUGCUUCGGUGGUAGCAAAAUCGGAAUUUUCCGCUUUCAGCCUUGAAGUUACUUCAAUUGUGUCGGCCACGUGAAUUGGGUUGGGGUUUGAACCGUUUUAAACGGUUUAGAACUUGACUUGAAGUUUGUGACCUCGAAUCAGGUGGGAGUACCCGCUGAACUUAAGCAUAUCAAUAAG
RNAcentral lists this ribosomal RNA (801 nucleotides) under Herpomyces chaetophilus. RNAcentral describes it as "eukaryotic LSU rRNA". The stretch from base 318 to 471 matches the Rfam family "5.8S ribosomal RNA". Lineage: Eukaryota; Fungi; Ascomycota; Laboulbeniomycetes; Herpomycetales; Herpomycetaceae. The record is from RNAcentral.